RNAcentral lists this ribosomal RNA (938 nucleotides) under uncultured bacterium. RNAcentral describes it as "bacterial SSU rRNA". It matches the Rfam family "Bacterial small subunit ribosomal RNA", at positions 384 to 1342 of the family's 1533-position model. The record is from RNAcentral.
UGAUGCAGCGACGCCGCGUGAGCGAAGAAGUAUUUCGGUAUGUAAAGCUCUAUCAGCAGGGAAGAUAAUGACGGUACCUGACUAAGAAGCACCGGCUAAAUACGUGCCAGCAGCCGCGGUAAUACGUAUGGUGCAAGCGUUAUCCGGAUUUACUGGGUGUAAAGGGAGCGUAGGCGGAUUUUUAAGUGAGAUGUGAAAUACUCGGGCUUAACCUGAGUGCUGCAUUUCAAACUGGAAGUCUAGAGUGCAGGAGAGGAGAAGGGAAUUCCUAGUGUAGCGGUGAAAUGCGUAGAGAUUAGGAAGAACACCAGUGGCGAAGGCGCUUCUCUGGACUGUAACUGACGCUGAGGCUCGAAAGCGUGGGGAGCAAACAGGAUUAGAUACCCUGGUAGUCCACGCUGUAAACGAUGAAUACUAGGUGUAGGGGUUGUCAUGACCUCUGUGCCGCCGCUAACGCAUUAAGUAUUCCGCCUGGGGAGUGCGGUCGCAAGAUUAAAACUCAAAGGAAUUGACGGGGGCCCGCACAAGCAGCGGAGCAUGUGGUUUAAUUCGAAGCAACGCGAAGAACCUUACCUAGACUUGACAUCUCCUGCAUUACUCUUAAUCGAGGAAGUCUCUUCGGAGACAGGAUGACAGGUGGUGCAUGGUUGUCGUCAGCUCGUGUCGUGAGAUGUUGGGUUAAGUCCCGCAACGAGCGCAACCCUUAUUGUUAGUUGCCAUCAUUAAGUUGGGCACUCUAGCGAGACUGCCCGGGUUAACCGGGAGGAAGGUGGGGAUGACGUCAAAUCAUCAUGCCCCUUAUGUCUAGGGCUACACACGUGCUACAAUGGUCGGUACAAUAAGACGCAAGCCCGCGAGGGGGAGCAAAACUGGAAAACCGAUCUCAGUUCGGAUUGUAGGCUGAAACUCGCCUACAUGAAGCUGGAGUUGCUAGUAAU